This 223-nucleotide unclassified non-coding RNA is filed under the name uncultured Gammaproteobacteria bacterium. RNAcentral describes it as "contains 16S-23S intergenic spacer region". The record is from RNAcentral. Lineage: Bacteria; Pseudomonadati; Pseudomonadota; Gammaproteobacteria.
UCCGGUUUGUCACCGGCAGUCCCAUUAGAGUGCCCAACUGAAUGUGGCAACUAAUGGCAAGGGUUGCGCUCGUUGCGGGACUUAACCCAACAUCUCACGACACGAGCUGACGACAGCCAUGCAGCACCUGUGUCCAGGUUCCCUUUCGGGCACCCCUCCAUCUCUGGAGGGUUCCUGGCAUGUCAAGGGUAGGUAAGGUGGGGAUGACGUCGACGUCAUAACC